Molecule: non-coding RNA, 71 nt
Organism: Phrynosoma platyrhinos (Desert horned lizard)
Lineage: Eukaryota; Metazoa; Chordata; Lepidosauria; Squamata; Phrynosomatidae
Source: the annotation of a GenBank genome assembly
ACUCACAUAGCGCAGUGGUUUGAGUGCUGGACCAUGACUCUGGAGACCAGGGUUCGAAUCCCGUCACACUA